RNAcentral lists this ribosomal RNA (440 nucleotides) under uncultured bacterium. RNAcentral describes it as "partial 16S ribosomal RNA". It matches the Rfam family "Bacterial small subunit ribosomal RNA", at positions 338 to 795 of the family's 1533-position model. The record is from RNAcentral.
CCUACGGGAGGCUGCAGUGGGGAAUAUUGCACAAUGGGGGAAACCCUGAUGCAGCGACGCCGCGUGAGUGAAGAAGUAUUUCGGUACGGAAAGCUCUAUCAGCAGGGAAGAAAAUGACGGUACCUGACGAAGCAGCCACGGCUAACUACGUGCCAGCAGCCGAGGUAAUACGUAGGGGGCAAGCGUUCUCCGGAUUUACUGGGUGUAAAGUGAGCGUAGACGGCAGCGCAAGUCUGGAGUGAAAUCCAAUGGCUUAACCCUGGAACUGCUUGGGAAACUGUGCAGCUAGAGUGCAGGAGAGGUAAGCGGAAUUCCUAGUGUAGCGGUUAAAUGCGUAGAUAUUAGGAGGAACACCAGUGGCGAAGGCGGCUUACUGGACUGUAACUGACGUUGAGGCUCGAAAGCGUUGGGAGCAAACAGGAUUAGAUACCCCAGUAGUC